UACGGAGGGUGCAAGCGUUGCUCGGAAUUAUUGGGCGUAAAGGGUAGGUAGGUGGUCUCAUUUGUCUGGGGUGAAAGCCUUGAGCUUAACUCAAGAAGUGCCCCAGAAACGGUGAGACUGGAGUCCUGGAGAGGGGCGUGGAAUUCCCGGUGUAGCGGUGAAAUGCGCAGAUAUCAGGAGGAACACCGAUGGCGAAGGCAGGUCUCUGGGCCAUAACUGACGCUGAGAAGCGAAAGCAUGGGGAGCGAACAGG
This 253-nucleotide ribosomal RNA is filed under the name uncultured bacterium. RNAcentral describes it as "partial 16S ribosomal RNA". It matches the Rfam family "Bacterial small subunit ribosomal RNA", at positions 524 to 776 of the family's 1533-position model. The record is from RNAcentral.